Orcinus orca (killer whale) is the source of this 2173-nucleotide long non-coding RNA. RefSeq lists it as uncharacterized. The record is from RefSeq and is a predicted model, not a curated record. Lineage: Eukaryota; Metazoa; Chordata; Mammalia; Artiodactyla; Delphinidae. The transcript has 4 exons.
ACUAAUUUGCUAUUCGGUGACAUAAGAGGGGGAGUGCGCUUUGCUUUCCCGGGGUCUGGGGCUAAUUCCUCCUCUCUUCCCCGUAAACUCAGCUCCUCGAGCUCAACACACAAAAGGGAGCGAGAGGUUCGAACCUUUGGGAAAAGUCUGUUAUAUAUAGUAGGUUUCGAGGCGAGUAAGAGAAAAAAACAAUAAACACCACAGCUCUUUCCAGCUAGAAUAUUAGGCACCACGAGAAAAAUAUUUGCCAAGCAGUUUUCGGAGGACAGGAUAGCCAUCACUGGAGGCAUGUGGGACCCCAGGACACAACUGAAAACGGGUCUUCGUGGUUUGAUGGUCCUGUGUUAGAAAAUCGGGGUGAUCUGACUACCUGGGUUUGGAGAUGGGCAUCUUGUUUUCUGGCAGAAUUGAGGAAAGCAAGGCUGCUUUGGGCUGUGUGUAAAUUGUAAACUGGUUCUCAGAACAGACUCCAGGUCACACCUAUCUGAAGCCGGCUUGACGGCAGGGAGAGCUGGAGAGCGGAAGAAUGUGCUGAGAAAGGGAGUGCUCGGUACUUUUCCAUUCACAUCUCCACAGUGGCUUUUCUUGUUUAUUUCAACCUCCACCAGCGGAACCCUGUCAGCUGCCUGAAAUCCGAGUCAUUAAACUGUUCCCUGAGAAACAACGAUGCUACACUAGCAAAGAGCCCACCUGGUACCAGAUCUUGAUUUCUGAUACUUCUGUGCAGUAAUGGAAAACAAGGCUCCUUGGAGAAACGUCUGGUUCUAGAUCUAGGACUGGGGCAAGAAGUAUUCAAAAUUAGAAUGGAACAUCUUAUAGCAUCAUAAAUAAAGAAUUGCUGAAAAACAAACGAAAACUACAUCGAUGGGGCAUAUUUCAAAGAGACACUGGAGCCACUUGAAGAGCUCCCAAUGGGCAAAGCUGGAAGAUUUGGAGUAAAAAAAAGAAAUCAAGUCAUAUUAGAUUACAAUCCAAAGUAUAAAAGAAAUAUCCAUGAAUCCCCACGGAUAUAAAUGAUUAAAUAAAUUAAUAAAUCAGAGAAAAGAGACAAAUCUCCCUUGCAGAAAAAUUCCAAAUCAUUUAUGUAGAUACACUGGCAGCAAGGAUGGGGGAAGGGGGCGGUGGGUAACUCCCCACUCCUCAGGUGUGAGCUAUGCACAGUGACUUCCUUCCAAAGAGUGCAGUAUGGGAAGGGAGGAAAGGAGGGAGGGAAUCAUUUUACAUGGAGAAACCUGACAUACACUAGCCAAUUCACCAAGGUGAACAUCAGCAAUGAUAAGCCAUGUUGAUUGUUAUGUACCUUUGAUCUGAGGAGAUGAAAAUGGCUUUUUACCUCUGUGGUCUUCCUCCCACACCCCAGUCUAUUUAUGAGAAAAGUCUCAGACAAGUUUCAACAGAAGGGCAUCCUACAAAAGACGUCACCAAUAUUCCACAGAACUAUCAGGGAAAGUCUGAGAAAUUGCAGCAGCUGAGAGUAACCUCAGAAGAUAUGACAACUUAAUGUAAUGUAGUAUCCUGGAUGGGAUCAUGAAACAGAAAAAGAUAAGGUAAACCCAGACAAAUCUGAAUAAAUGAGGAGCUUUAGUUAAUAAUAUUGUAUCAGUGUUGUUUCAUUAGUUGUUACAAAUGUACCAUAGUAAUAUAAAAUGUUAAUAAUAAUGGGAAACUGGGUAUAGGGUUUUUCUCUGCACUAUCUUCUCAAUUUUGCUGUUUAAAAAAUAUUUGGGGAGGGCAUAUCCUUAUUUAUUUAUUUAUUUUUCAAUACCAGAAUCCUCCAAAAAUGAGCUAGGUCUCUUGAAAUCUGAGAGAUUUUCUUCCCAGUCAACCAUGCCCCCCAGAUAGAGUCAGGAAAAUGAGGGAACCUGCAUUUAUUCUUUUAGUUUACUAAAUUGAAAGCAAUUUUGCUAAUUUCUCUAUGUCAUCAUCUGGACACAGAACUGUGAGGAGAACACUUAGGAAGCACCAAAGGCCAAGUGUUGUCAUGGUGGUGGAUGACUCAAGGCACCUCAUCAAUCUGCUUACUCCACAUUUCUUUCCGAAAAUCCUCCAUGGAAACAAGGCCCUGAAAGAUCUAGCCAUCAGUCCAUAAUAGACAUAUGAUACUUAGGGAUUCAUCACUGAGGUUGGGGGAGCCUCAAGACCUUCCUAGAAUGUCUGGUAUCUCAUUGUACAA